This 450-nucleotide ribosomal RNA is filed under the name Kitasatospora sp. BSNF1(11). RNAcentral's name for it is "bacterial SSU rRNA". It matches the Rfam family "Bacterial small subunit ribosomal RNA", at positions 52 to 521 of the family's 1533-position model. The record is from RNAcentral. Lineage: Bacteria; Bacillati; Actinomycetota; Actinomycetes; Kitasatosporales; Streptomycetaceae.
UACCUGCAAGUCGAACGAUGAAGCCUUCGGGUGGAUUAGUGGCGAACGGGUGAGUAACACGUGGGAAAUCUGCCCUGCACUCUGGGACAAGCCUUGGAAACGAGGUCUAAUACCGGAUAUGACCUGUCCUCGCAUGGGGAUGGGUGGAAAGCUCCGGCGGUGCAGGAUGAUCCCGCGGCCUAUCAGCUUGUUGGUGGGGUAAUGGCCUACCAAGGCGACGACGGGUAGCCGGCCUGAGAGGGCGACCGGCCACACUGGGACUGAGACACGGCCCAGACUCCUACGGGAGGCAGCAGUGGGGAAUAUUGCACAAUGGGCGAAAGCCUGAUGCAGCGACGCCGCGUGAGGGAUGAAGGCCUUCGGGUCGUAAACCUCUUUCAGCAGGGAAGAAGCGCAAGUGACGGUACCUGCAGAAGAAGCACCGGCUAACUACGUGCCAGCAGCCGCGGU